CCUACGGGUGGCAGCAGUGGGGAAUAUUGCACAAUGGGGGAAACCCUGAUGCAGCGACGCCGCGUGAGUGAAGAAGUAUCUCGGUACGUAAAGCUCUAUCAGCAGGGAAGAAAAUGACGGUACCUGACUAAGAAGCCCCGACUAACUAUGUGCCAGCAGCCGCGGUAAUACGUAGGGGGCAAGCGUUAUCCGGAUUUACUGGGUGUAAAGGGAGCGUAGACGGCAGCACAAGUCUGGAGGGAAAUCCCGGGGCUUAACCCCGGAACUGCUUUGGAAACUGUGCGGCUGGAGUGCAGGAGGGGUAAGCGGAAUUCCGAGGGUAGCGGUGAAAUACGUAGAUAUUAGGAGGAACACCGGUGGCGAAGGCGGCUUACUGGACUGUAACUGACGUUGAGGCUCGAAAGCGUGGGGAACAAACAGGAUUAGAUACCCGAGUAGUC
Molecule: ribosomal RNA, 440 nt
Filed under: uncultured bacterium
Lineage: Bacteria
Description: partial 16S ribosomal RNA
Rfam family: Bacterial small subunit ribosomal RNA
Source: RNAcentral